This 1835-nucleotide long non-coding RNA is filed under the name Lynx pardinus (Iberian lynx). Lineage: Eukaryota; Metazoa; Chordata; Mammalia; Carnivora; Felidae. The record is from RNAcentral.
AUAAUAUCUAAAACAGAAAAAAAAAAUUAAGGCAGUAAGGAUGUUAUUUAGCAAUUGGGCAAAUGCUGAAAGUGCCCCUAGGAAAGAAGAAUCAAGGGUGAGAAUGAGUAAAGUAAGGCGACCACUGUUUUCCAGUGUUAUUUAUGUAAAUCACGCACAUAUACUACUUUGCUAAAAAUAAAAAUUAAAUUAAAGGUAUGGCAAAUAGUAUUAGGGAAUCAUUAAAAUGCACCAAACCUCAAUAGCGGUAAAUUAUUUGAAUCUUGGUAGGAUGCGCUGUGCUUUAGCAAAUAUCUGUAUUUGAAGGGCUCCUCUCAUAGAAAGAAAACAAAGGACAGAAAGCAUUGCUGAGGGGUUUAGGUGUGGAUAAAAUGACAGAGUUAAGCUGAAGAAUCCCCAUGUUGACAGCAUUCAAUCCAAGGCAACCUCCACUGUGCACAUGUUCUAACAUAUGUUAAAAUUUUCAAUCUCUCAUCUCUCUAUUAGUUUUCAUCCUCAGAGUCACCGAGGGGCCAUUUUGCAGAAGGGGAAUCUACUAAAAUGGAUCAGGGACUUGGUGGCAAGGAAUCAAUCCAUUUUUUUAACAUGGAAAAAGCAUAUGAUUCAGUAUUCUGUAAACAAAACAAACACUGUUCCCAUACUCUUUGAAUAUAUGAGACAAUUAUUUAAGUAACUUGUCACUUUUUAUACUUUGAGAAUAUUGCAUCUGUAUUUUCUUCUGUAUCCUUUCUAUAUCUUUAGUUUAUGCAGCCAAUAUUCUUGAUCAGAGAGCAAGAUCAUUCAUUUUAGUUUAUUUGGUUUUAAAAAAUAAAAAUGGCUACAUUAAAGCGUAAAUACAUUAGUCUCAUCACAGGCGAAAAUUAGGCACCAUCAUCUGCCAGGUUUGUGAUUUUUCACAAAGAGCCAGGUCAUAAGGAAAUUCGAUGUAAGUAGCUGUGAAUAUUUCUGUGCAAAGAAUGUAUACUUGGAAAUGUGUGUGUGUGUGUGUGUAUAAACCUAUGUACAUGUAUAUACAUAUAUGUAUACAUAUGUAUGCACACAUGUACAGACACAUACACAUACACGCAGUGUGUAUGAGAUUCUAGGAACAAGAUUUGAAUGAAUAGCUUCUUUUAUUGUAAAAUGAUGCCAUCUUUAGUAUUUCUAUAAGAAAAAAAAUAAGUUUAAGCAAUAAAUCAAUGGGCAGAAAAAAAUAACAAGUGAAAUUGUCAUUUCCUUUUUCAACUCCACAUGAAGUUAGUCUAGGACUGUGAGAUUACAAAAUAAGGAAGGAGUCUACAUUGGAGUCCCCAGAGGACUUGCAAAAGGUCAGAACAGUAUCUGGCUUUUCAUGUGUGUUGUGCCUGGACUUUGUUACUCUGGUAAGAUGCCUUUGUAAGCACAACAAACUGGCAGUUUAUCUUAAAAUCUGUAGAGUGGAUCGCAGUGCUGUUCACUAGAGUGAAUGCUCGUCUUGCUUCUUAUCUUGUUCCACAUUUCCAAAGGGCUCAUCCAAGCAUUGAUUUCCAAGGACGAUUUGCUACAGAUUAGCUUUUUUACUUUCUUCUUUUUUGACAGGGUGAACCAAAAGAGAGCCCCAUGUAUCCUGUACCUGCUUCCCCAGCUUGGAGCAGGCCAGCCAUUCAUAAUCUGGAGCAUCAUGUGUCCGCUUCAAAAAGCUCAUGUCUUCUGUUUAUGCAUGGGGACAGCAAAUUAUGAGGCAUUCUUUGUCUUUUACUCCCAAUCGAUUUCAGAGAACAGUUUGUGUGUGUGUGUAGCAAAAAUCCCUUAAGUCCUCUGUGUGCUUUGCUAUCAUUGUUUAGGUGCUAAAGUGAAGUCAACGUGUCACCUAAUCA